GAUGAAGAACGCAGCGAAAUGCGAUACGUAAUGUGAAUUGCAGAAUUCAGUGAAUCAUCGAAUCUUUGAACGCAUAUUGCGCUCUCUGGUAUUCCGGAGAGCAUGCUUGUUUGAGUAUCAGUAAACACCUCAACUUCCAUAUCUUUUUUGAAAUGGGAGUUGGACUUGAGUGAUCCCAACGCUUUUCCUCACCGAAAAGUGGCGGGUUACUUGAAAUGCAGGUGCAGCUGGACUUUUCUCUGAGCUAUAAGCAUAUCUAUUUAGUCUGCCUAAAAAACAGAUUAUUACCUUUGCUGCAGCUAACAUAAAGGAGAUUAGUUCUUGUGCCGACUGAUGCAGGAUUCACAAAGACAGGCUUCGGCCGACUUUGUAAACUCGAUCUCAAAUCAAGUAAGACUACCCGCUGAACUUAAGCAUAUCAAUAAGCGGAGGA
Molecule: unclassified non-coding RNA, 433 nt
Filed under: soil metagenome
Description: partial contains 5.8S ribosomal RNA, internal transcribed spacer 2, and large subunit ribosomal RNA
Rfam family: 5.8S ribosomal RNA (bases 1-120)
Source: RNAcentral